This is a non-coding RNA of Camellia sinensis, 339 nucleotides long. The record is from RefSeq and is a predicted model, not a curated record. Lineage: Eukaryota; Viridiplantae; Streptophyta; Magnoliopsida; Ericales; Theaceae.
UCGAGUUAGUUGAGAAUUUUUUCUAACAAACUUCUAGCAUCAGUGUGCAACACACACGAGAGAAUUUUUCCCUUUCCCCUCCCUUUUUUCCAUUUAACGUUUUGUAGCUCUAGACAACAGUUUCUCUCUCUCACUCACUUGAAUGGAGGCGAGCGACAAGCGGCGAUUGGCGAGAGUGGCGGCGAGCGACGAUCGACUAUCGGUGACAGUGGCGGCACGCAGCGAUCGAAGCAUCGAUUCGAAGGGCUUAUGAUCGGUAGCGAGCGGCGGCAGUGGCGAUCGAAGGUGAUGAGCAGGAAGGCGGUGACGCCUAGGUGUGACUCGCAAGCUUGUUUUGGG